CUGCAUUACCACCGACCAGUCCUCAGCCGGCAACAUGAAGCUGGGUGGCCUCUGCCUCCUGCUCCUCCUCGCCGUCCUUCUCACCCUCAAUGCAGAGCUCCAGGCAGUUGAUAUAGGUAUCUGUGUGACGGAGUGCAACGUAGACCAGGACUGUGGGGAAGGAAGACAAUGCACCAGCAAUGGGUGUGGCCGUGUCUGCUCCCCAGUCCAGCAAGAAGAGAGGCCUGCGAGCACCAGUGCAGAGAAGACAGGGACUGUGGGAGUGGACAUCAGUGCGUGAGGAAGGGCUGUGGGCACGUCUGCGCCCCCGUCCAUCAAGUCGGUAUCUGUGUGACGGAGUGCAAGGUAGACCAGGACUGUGGGGAAGGAAGACGAUGCACCAGCAAUGGGUGUGGCCGUGUCUGCUCCCCAGUCCAGCAAAAAGAUGUAGGUAUCUGUGUGACGGAGUGCCGUGUAGACCAGGACUGUGGGGAAGGAAGACAAUGCACCAGCAAUGGAUGUGGCCGUGUCUGCUCCCCAGCCCAGCAAAGAGAGGCCUGCGAGCACCAAUGCAGAGAAGACAAGGACUGUGGGAGUGGACAUCAGUGCGUGAGGAAGGGCUGUGGGCACGUCUGCUCCCCCAUCCCUCAAGUAGAUGUAGGUAUCUGUGUGACGGAGUGCAAUGUAGACC
This 670-nucleotide long non-coding RNA is filed under the name Sus scrofa (pig). Its description in RNAcentral is "lncRNA (ENSSSCG00055020939.1)". Lineage: Eukaryota; Metazoa; Chordata; Mammalia; Artiodactyla; Suidae. The record is from RNAcentral.